AUUGAACGCUGGCGGCAGGCCUAACACAUGCAAGUCGAACGAGUGGCGGACGGGUGAGUAAUGUCUGAGAAACUGCCCGAUGGCGGGGGAUAACUACUGGAAACGGUAGCUAAUACCGCAUACCAUCGGAUGUUCCCAGAUGGGAUUCGCGAGUAGGUGGGGUAAUGGCUCACCUAGGCGACGAUCCCUAGCUGGUCUGAGAGGAUGACCAGCAACACGGGAACUGAGACACGGGCCAGAAUCCUACGGGAGGCAGCAGGGGGGAAUAUUGCACAAUGGGCGCAAGCCUGAUGCAGCCAUGCCGCGUGUAUGAAGAAGGCCUUCGGGGUGUAAAGUACUUGCAGCGGGGAGGCGUUACCCGCAGAAGAAGCACCGGCUAACUCCGUGCCAGCAGCCGCGGUAAUAC
This 406-nucleotide ribosomal RNA is filed under the name uncultured bacterium. Its description in RNAcentral is "partial 16S ribosomal RNA". It matches the Rfam family "Bacterial small subunit ribosomal RNA", at positions 29 to 526 of the family's 1533-position model. The record is from RNAcentral.